CCUACGGGAGGCAGCAGUGGGGAAUAUUGGACAAUGGGGGCAACCCUGAUCCAGCCAUGCCGCGUGUGUGAAGAAGGCCCUCGGGUUGUAAAGCACUUUCAGUGAGGAAGAACGCCUGGUGGUUAAUACCCAUCAGGAAAGACAUCACUCACAGAAGAAGCACCGGCUAACUCCGUGCCAGCAGCCGCGGUAAUACGGAGGGUGCGAGCGUUAAUCGGAAUUAUUGGGCGUAAAGCGCGCGUAGGUGGCUUGAUAAGCCGGUUGUGAAAGCCCCGGGCUCAACCUGGGAACGGCAUCCGGAACUGUCAAGCUAGAGUGCAGGAGAGGAAGGUAGAAUUCCCGGUGUAGCGGUGAAAUGCGUAGAGAUCGGGAGGAAUACCAGUGGCGAAGGCGGCCUUCUGGACUGACACUGACACUGAGGUGCGAAAGCGUGGGUAGCAAACAGGAUUAGAUACCCGAGUAGUC
RNAcentral lists this ribosomal RNA (465 nucleotides) under Vreelandella stevensii. RNAcentral describes it as "partial 16S ribosomal RNA". It matches the Rfam family "Bacterial small subunit ribosomal RNA", at positions 338 to 795 of the family's 1533-position model. The record is from RNAcentral. Lineage: Bacteria; Pseudomonadati; Pseudomonadota; Gammaproteobacteria; Oceanospirillales; Halomonadaceae.